Molecule: ribosomal RNA, 497 nt
Filed under: uncultured bacterium
Lineage: Bacteria
Description: partial 16S ribosomal RNA
Rfam family: Bacterial small subunit ribosomal RNA
Source: RNAcentral
GACGAACGCUGGCGGCGUGCCUAAUACAUGCAAGUAGAACGCUGAAGAGAGGAGCUUGCUCUUCUUGGAUGAGUUGCGAACGGGUGAGUAACGCGUAGGUAACCUGCCUUGUAGCGGGGGAUAACUAUUGGAAACGAUAGCUAAUACCGCAUAACAAUGGAUGACACAUGUCAUUUAUUUGAAAGGGGCAAUUGCUCCACUACAAGAUGGACCUGCGUUGUAUUAGCUAGUAGGUGAGGUAAUGGCUCACCUAGGCGACGAUACAUAGCAGACCUGAGAGGGUGAUCGGCCACACUGGGACUGAGACACGGCCCAGACUCCUACGGGAGGCAGCAGUAGGGAAUCUUCGGCAAUGGGGGCAACCCUGACCGAGCAACGCCGCGUGAGGGAAGAAGGGUUUCGGAUCGUAAAGCUCUGUUGUAAGUCAAGAACGGGUGUGAGAGUGGAAAGUUCACACUGUGACGGUAGCUUACCAGAAAGGGACGGCUAACUACGUG